This 497-nucleotide ribosomal RNA is filed under the name uncultured bacterium. RNAcentral describes it as "partial 16S ribosomal RNA". It matches the Rfam family "Bacterial small subunit ribosomal RNA", at positions 28 to 507 of the family's 1533-position model. The record is from RNAcentral.
GAUGAACGCUGGCGGCGUGCCUAAUACAUGCAAGUCGAGCGAACGGACGAGAAGCUUGCUUCUCUGAUGUUAGCGGCGGACGGGUGAGUAACACGUGGAUAACCUACCUAUAAGACUGGUAUAACUUCGGGAAACCGGAGCUAAUACCGGAUAAUAUUUUGAACCGCAUGGUUCAAAAGUGAAAGACGGUCUUGCUGUCACUUAUAGAUGCAUCCGCGCUGCAUUAGCUAGUUGGUAAGGUAACGGCUUACCAAGGCAACGAUGCAUAGCCGACCUGAGAGAGUGAUAGGCCACCAGAGAACGGAGACACGGACAAGAGGACUAAGAGAGGCAGCAGUAGGGAAUGUGACGCAAUGGGCGAAAGCAUGACGGAGCAACGCCGCGUGAGAGAUGAAGGUCUUCGGAGCGGAAAACUCUGUUAUUAGGGAAGAACAGAUGUGUAAGUAACUGUGCACAGAGUGACGGUACCUAAUAAGAAAGCAACGGCUAACUACGUG